GCCAUAGUGGCACAAAUAGUUAAGCACUCAGCUGCUAACUGAAAGGUCGGUGGUUUGAACCCACCCAGUGGCU
RNAcentral lists this transfer RNA (73 nucleotides) under Loxodonta africana (African savanna elephant). It matches the Rfam family "tRNA". Rfam says of the family: Transfer RNA (tRNA) molecules are approximately 80 nucleotides in length. Their secondary structure includes four short double-helical elements and three loops (D, anti-codon, and T loops). Further hydrogen bonds mediate the characteristic L-shaped molecular structure. tRNAs have two regions of fundamental functional importance: the anti-codon, which is responsible for specific mRNA codon recognition, and the 3' end, to which the tRNAs corresponding amino acid is attached (by aminoacyl-tRNA synthetases). tRNAs cope with the degeneracy of the genetic code in two manners: having more than one tRNA (with a specific anti-codon) for a particular amino acid; and 'wobble' base-pairing, i.e. permitting non-standard base-pairing at the 3rd anti-codon position. The record is from Rfam by way of RNAcentral. Lineage: Eukaryota; Metazoa; Chordata; Mammalia; Proboscidea; Elephantidae.